AGCCUCUUGUGAUUAUUUUAUUAGAGGUGAUUUCUGCUCAGUGUUAAUAAAUAGCCGCAGUAAUUUGACUGUGCAAAGGUAGCAUAAUCAUUUGCCUCAUAAUUGGGGGCUGGAAUGAAUGGGAUUACGAAAAUUUUACUGUCUUUUGUUUAUUUUUAUAAUUUGUAUUUAAUGUGAAGAUACAUUAAUAUUUUAAUAAGACAAGAAGACCCUUUUGAGCUUUAUUUUUUUUCUUUUUUUUUUAUUGGAUAUUAAUUUGGUUGGGGCGAUCAAGGAAGAAAAAUAUUUGUUAAUUUAGAAUCUUCCUUUUUUUAUUCUAGAACCAUUUUUUUUGGAAUAUAGAUUUAGUUACCAAAGGGAUAACAGCGUAAUUUUUUUUGAGAGUUCUUAUUAAAAAAAAAGAUUGCGACCUCGAUGUUGACUUAUAGUUUCCUUUUGGUG
RNAcentral lists this ribosomal RNA (441 nucleotides) under Pseudotetrastemma sp. NEP-2019. Its description in RNAcentral is "partial large subunit ribosomal RNA". It matches the Rfam family "Bacterial large subunit ribosomal RNA", at positions 1817 to 2555 of the family's 2925-position model. Lineage: Eukaryota; Metazoa; Nemertea; Enopla; Monostilifera; Tetrastemmatidae. The record is from RNAcentral.